CUAGGGCCUGGGGGUUCACAUCCUCUAGGGCCUGGGGGUUCACUGUGAGGAUUCUGACUUUACUCUAAGUUGAAUGGGAGGUCCUUGUGAUGGUAUCUAAGUCACUGUGAUGCCAGCACAUCCUUGGGUGCUAAAAGGAUCAGCCCAGCUGCUAUAGAGAGACUGGGAGUGGAAGGGCCUAGAGCCCAAGCGGGACCACUGUGAGGAAACGAAUGUCAUAAUCCGGAGGGGCAGGAUGGAGUUCCGACCAUGGGUACAGCAGCAGGGUGGCCACGACAACUGAAUCCCGGACAUAUUCUGAAGGAACGUUUGCUACGCUAGGACUGCAUCUUGGGAACAGAAUUUUAGAGAUGAUCAUCUCUUACGUCAGAAGCAGGAUCUAAAUGAUCCCUGGAUGCCCAGUUUCCUGACUCUGCUACUGUCAUGGGUGGCAAGAUAAGAGGAGUUGCAUCACAGAUGAAAAAGUAAGGCCGAAGAAGACCAGAGAACAGUUGGUUGAAUGUGUAGAUAUAAGACCCAUUUGUCACAUUGUAGAAUGAAAUUUCACCAGCUUCAUAGUCCAAGAAAAUCCCAAUGCAGCGAGGACUUUCCAGUUGGAGAAGAGGCACCGACGGGGAGGCAAGGACCAUGUACUCAUUCCCUUUCAGCAGCCACAGGGCCCAGACCCCAUUCUCAGGAGAUGGCGUGGUUUCCCCCUUUCUUGGCAGUGUGUCUUGACAGACCCCUAAACCCCACUCUGCUCUUUCUCCCACCAGAACCUCCCAGUAAUGCCUCCCUGAUGAGAAGCUCUGCAAACCCAGGAUGCAGGGCCACGUGUCAAAUCGCUCAGGGUUGUUGGGGACAUCCCUCCAUGGCUCUCCAUCCUGCACACUGCGCAGGUCGGCGGUCAAGAGCAGACUCGGGUGCGCCGUGGCGGGAUCCAGCUUUACAUCCACUGCAGAAAGAAUGUGGUGGAACUGGUGAAAGGAAAGAAAGGACUGGGAGAAACUUAGGAAACCGCUGAAAGAACAGUCCCACAGUUCUUGACUUUUCUCUCUCUAAUAACUCCUAGAGAAACCAAAUCAGUAUUUCACCUUA
Long non-coding RNA from Symphalangus syndactylus (siamang), 1077 nucleotides. RefSeq lists it as uncharacterized. Lineage: Eukaryota; Metazoa; Chordata; Mammalia; Primates; Hylobatidae. The record is from RefSeq and is a predicted model, not a curated record.